AUGGCUCCAAGCCUUAGCCAGCAGACUUGCCUAGAAGCCUGCAUCCAUCUGCAAAGCAUGAGGGGCCGCGACCUCACCGGCUCGCUGCCGGACGAUGUCCUCCAGCACGUGCUCUCCUUCCUGCCAUCGCGCGACGCCGUGCAGACGUCGGUGCUCGCCCCCCGCUGGCGCCACCUCUGGAAAUCCACCCCCGCCGUCCGCGUCCGCGGCAGGGGAGACGGCUUUCGCCUCUUCGUCAACAGCCUGCUGCGCCACCGGAACGACGCCUCGCCGCUGCACACCUUCGAGAUCGACGACCUCGUGAAAGGCCCCCAGCCGUCCACCAACUUCUUCUUUGACGACGACGACGACGACGACGAGGACGUCUCCGAGACCGACCCCCACCCGGACGUCGACCUGUGGAUCAGGCACGCCUUGUCCACGUGCCGCGCCACCUCGCUCACGGCACGCUUCGACGAAGAGGGCUUCCUGCCGUGGCGUCCGCGCCCCCCUUUCGCCUUCACGUCCAGCCAGCUCACGACCAUGCACCUCGAGUUCGUCGAGCUCGCCGACGGCCUCCUCGACUUCUCCCCCUGCCCGGCGCUCCUGCGCCUCAGCCUCAGCGGAUGCCGCCUC
Molecule: ribosomal RNA, 615 nt
Filed under: Triticum aestivum (bread wheat)
Lineage: Eukaryota; Viridiplantae; Streptophyta; Magnoliopsida; Poales; Poaceae
Description: partial small subunit ribosomal RNA
Source: RNAcentral